GUUUCCACAUCAACAAAAGCAAAGCUGCUCAGGAGGAACCACUGCUGUUCUCCAUAACCACAGCACUGUCUCUGUAAAGUGCUGGUGUUCAAUCUCCAUGAACAGUUUUGUCAGUGGACUUGAAAGAGACUGCAAAGUAAGAGAAAGCAGCAGAGCUGGGAACAGCAAACAGACGCCCUGAGUCAGCCCAAGGAACUCCAGACAGACACACCAAUAUCAGCACACUGAAACAGUUCAGUCCUUGAGAGUUCCUCCAGAUUCCUCUGGCGUUCCUGCUGCCUGAGAUGUUCUGCUGUGUUGGAAGACCCCCUCCAUCCUCUCCCUGCUCAAGAAGAGGACGCAACUGGGCCCUGGAAGACCAGCUGGGUGGAGAGUGAAGGCAGGAUUGGCUCUGGGAGUGGACUCCUGAUGAUGAUACGGUUGAGAGUAAAUGUGGAUGAACAUCACUCCCCUCCUGCUGAUGGAGCAACACGGUUUCCUUGCCUCUCUCUGCCUGCCCUUCAACACCAAAUGGGUGAGUUUUCCUCUUUUCCUCUUUUUUUUUUUUUUUUUUCCCAAUCCUUUUACCCAUACUCCUUUCCAAC
RNAcentral lists this long non-coding RNA (584 nucleotides) under Calidris pygmaea (Spoon-billed sandpiper). RNAcentral describes it as "lncRNA (ENSCPGG00000001835.1)". Lineage: Eukaryota; Metazoa; Chordata; Aves; Charadriiformes; Scolopacidae. The record is from RNAcentral.